This is a non-coding RNA of Pelobates cultripes (western spadefoot toad), 1139 nucleotides long. The record is from the annotation of a GenBank genome assembly. NCBI's taxonomy places the organism in Eukaryota, Metazoa, Chordata, Amphibia, Anura, Pelobatidae.
CAACAAAUGCUCCUCCGUACUUUUUGCAGUCUGCAUGAUUUCACGUCUAUUACCCAACAGUUUGUUUAUCUGGAAGCAUGGAGAGCACGAGCACCUGGGUGUGUUCAUUUCGUGUAAAUAAGAAGAGGCACAGAUGGGAGGUACAUUGGCAUCUCACACAUGCUGCCUGAGUUGGCAGCGAUAUCUGCCGAAGCAUCAAGUUGCUUGUCUUUGAUAGGUCAGCGAUUUCUCGUCCUCCCCUUGUCUCUGUUAGGGGGAUAUUCUGUACUGGGAUGAAGGCGCUGAAACAAUAAACAAAUUUGAACCUGGAACAAGUAUCUGGCUUAUUCCCCAGAUUUUGCAGACAGUUUUAUUAAUGUUUGUUUAUUAUCCUAACUAAAUUUUUGUGGCUGAAGCAGGAUGAGUGCAGUUCUCGUCCCAGCAGAUAAGUGGUGGAGCAUUUUGUAAUAAAUAUUUGUACACAAGUUUUUCUCUGUUCUAGUAGCUCAGAAUUUGUUGCUUGCAUCACUGUAUCACAGAGUUCCACAGCAAUACAAUAAUGUAAGGUGUGUAUGAGUGUAUCACAGAGUUCCACAGCAAUACAAUAAUGUAAGGUGUGUAUGAGUGUAUCACAGAGUUCCACAGCAAUACAAUAAUGUAAGGUGUGUAUGAGUGUAUCACAGAGCUCCACAGCAAUACAAUAAUGUAAGGUGUGUAUGAGUGUAUCACAGAGCUCCACAGCAAUACAAUAAUGUAAGGUGUGUAUGAGUGUAUCACAGAGCUCCACAGCAAUACAAUAAUGUAAGGUGUGUAUGAGUGUAUCACAGAGCCCCACAGAAAUACAAUAAUGUAAGGUGUGUAUGAGUGUAUCACAGAGCUCCACAGCAAUACAAUAAUGUAAGGUGUGUAUGAGUGUAUCACAGAGCUCCACAGGUAAGGUGUGUAUGAGUGUAUCACAGAGCUCCACAGGUAAGGUGUGUAUGAGUGUAUCACAGAGCCCCACAGAAAUACAAUAAUAUAAGGUGUGUAUGAGUGUAUCGCAGGGCCCCACAGAAAUACAAUAAUGUAAGUUGUGUAUGCAUGUAUCACAGAGCUCUACAGCAAUACAAUAAGGUAAGGUGUGUAUGAGUGUAUCACAGAGCUCCACAGCAAUACAAUAA